CUUUUUCUCAUCCAUUUAUUUCAGUCGUACAAGAUGGCGGAUAAAAAACUAUUCCACGUCCCAUCUACAAGUGAACUUUGACUUUAAGCCUCAGCAACCCCCAUAGGCUACUGGACUAAUGUAUACAAAAUUCGUAUCUUAUUCUUGUUUCUCGAUUACCGCCGAUUAUCUUCCCUUCGGAGGAUGUUGGGUGUCAGUUGUUAUUGUUAUGGUUGCCUUCAGCAGCAAGCCUUGCUUCAUGAUGAUUUGCUAUCUUCCACAAACUGGCCAUGAAGAUCUGCAUCUAGCUACACCAUUUGUUGGGAACCUUAUUGAGAAACCAACUGCCUGCACAUUCCACAGAAAAAAGUUGGUUGAUUGUAGAGACUCUUAAGUUCAUGUGAUAAAAAGUUUAUUUUAUUUUUGUUGUUUUGCAUGGGAUUUGACAAUGCCGGAGCCGUUCAAGCUUUUUAAUCGUCUGUCGGUCUGUGUAAAUCAUCAAUUCGGGGAGCAAUUCGAAUUUUGAUUGUACUUUUAUCGGACGUACUGUAUGAUGGUCGAGAUGCCCUUGGAGCGCCUUCCUCUUAGGGACAUUUGUCCUAGAUAUGCAAAGCACAAGGGUAAACUCAAAUCUUCUAGAAGCGUCUUCUCAAGAGCUGUCAACUCCUCACAGAAAUUACACUAUCGCGAAGGUGUAUGUUUAUGAAUUCCUUGACAUGAUUUGUCGUGAUCGUAAAUCACCGUGGGAAGCCUCGAUUAAACUGGCAUCAUUUAUUUUCCAACGUCGCCCUUUAGGUCACAUGUGUCGGGAUGAAGAGGGCUAGCCUUGAGGAAAAGAAU
This 819-nucleotide long non-coding RNA is filed under the name Daphnia magna. RNAcentral's name for it is "uncharacterized LOC123471522, transcript variant X3". The record is from RNAcentral. Lineage: Eukaryota; Metazoa; Arthropoda; Branchiopoda; Diplostraca; Daphniidae.